GACGAACGCUGGCGGCGCGCUUAACACAUGCAAGUCGAACGGAAAGGCCUGCUUUCCCUUGUGGAUUGCGGGUACUCGAGUGGCGAACGGGUGAGUAACACGUGAGUGAUCUGCCCCCAACUUGGGUAUAAGCCUGGGAAACUGGGUCUAAUUCCCGAUAGGACUGCAGGGUGGUGCCUGUGGUGGAAAACGAUUUUCUAGUGGUUGGGGAUGAGCUCGCGGCCUAUCAGCUUGUUGGUGGGGUAAUGGCCUACCAAGGCGGCGACGGGUAGCCGGCCUGGGAGGGUGGGCGGGCGCAGUGGGACUGAGAUACGGCCCAGACGCCUACGGGAGGCAGCAGAGGGGAAUAUUGCACAGUGGGCGGAAGCCUGAUGCAGCGACGCCGCGUGGGGGAUGACGGCCUUGGGGUUGUAAACUCCUUGCGACCGCGAGGAAGCCACCUGGUUGGAAGGGUGGUGACGGUAGUGGUAGAAGAAGCACCGGCUAACUACGUG
This 494-nucleotide ribosomal RNA is filed under the name uncultured bacterium. RNAcentral's name for it is "partial 16S ribosomal RNA". It matches the Rfam family "Bacterial small subunit ribosomal RNA", at positions 28 to 507 of the family's 1533-position model. The record is from RNAcentral.